AGAGUUUGAUCCUGGCUCAGAACGAACGCUGGCGGCAGGCCUAACACAUGCAAGUCGAGCGCGCCUUCGGGUGAGCGGCGGACGGGUUAGUAACGCGUGGGAACGUGCCCUUCUCUACGGAAUAGCCUCUGGAAACGGAGAGUAAUACCGUAUACGCCCUUUGGGGGAAAGAUUUAUCGGAGAAGGAUCGGCCCGCGUUAGAUUAGGUAGUUGGUGGGGUAACGGCCUACCAAGCCUACGAUCUAUAGCUGGUUUUAGAGGAUGAUCAGCAACACUGGGACUGAGACACGGCCCAGACUCCUACGGGAGGCAGCAGUGGGGAAUCUUAGACAAUGGGGGCAACCCUGAUCUAGCCAUGCCGCGUGAGUGAUGAAGGCCUUAGGGUCGCAAAGCUCUUUCGCCUGUGAUGAUAAUGACAGUAGCAGGUAAAGAAACCCCGGCUAACUCCGUGCCAGCAGCCGCGGUAAUACGGAGGGGGUUAGCGUUGUUCGGAAUUACUGGGCGUAAAGCGCGCGUAGGCGGAUUAGAAAGUUGGGGGUGAAAUCCCGGGGCUCAACCCCGGAACUGCCUCCAAAACUGCUAGUCUAGAGUUCGAGAGAGGUGAGUGGAAUUCCGAGUGUAGAGGUGAAAUUCGUAGAUAUUCGGAGGAACACCAGUGGCGAAGGCGGCUCACUGGCUCGAUACUGACGCUGAGGUGCGAAAGUGUGGGGAGCAAACAGGAUUAGAUACCCUGGUAGUCCACACCGUAAACGAUGAAUGCCAGUCGUCGGGUAGUAUACUAUUCGGUGACACACCUAACGGAUUAAGCAUUCCGCCUGGGGAGUACGGUCGCAAGAUUAAAACUCAAAGGAAUUGACGG
This 859-nucleotide ribosomal RNA is filed under the name uncultured marine bacterium. RNAcentral's name for it is "bacterial SSU rRNA". It matches the Rfam family "Bacterial small subunit ribosomal RNA", at positions 8 to 916 of the family's 1533-position model. The record is from RNAcentral.